RNAcentral lists this ribosomal RNA (490 nucleotides) under Clostridium butyricum. RNAcentral's name for it is "bacterial SSU rRNA". It matches the Rfam family "Bacterial small subunit ribosomal RNA", at positions 61 to 568 of the family's 1533-position model. The record is from RNAcentral. Lineage: Bacteria; Bacillati; Bacillota; Clostridia; Eubacteriales; Clostridiaceae.
GUCGAGCGAUGAAGCUUCUUCGGNAGUGGAUUAGCGGCGGACGGGUGAGUAACACGUGGGUAACCUGCCUCAUAGAGGGGAAUAGCCUUUCGAAAGGAAGAUUAAUACCGCAUAAGAUUGUAGUACCGCAUGGUACAGCAAUUAAAGGAGUAAUCCGCUAUGAGAUGGACCCGCGUCGCAUUAGCUAGUUGGUGAGGUAACGGCUCACCAAGGCGACGAUGCGUAGCCGACCUGAGAGGGUGAUCGGCCACAUUGGGACUGAGACACGGCCCAGACUCCUACGGGAGGCAGCAGUGGGGAAUAUUGCACAAUGGGGGAAACCCUGAUGCAGCAACGCCGCGUGAGUGAUGACGGCCUUCGGGUUGUAAAACUCUGUCUUUGGGGACGAUAAUGACGGUACCCAAGGAGGAAGCCACGGCUAACUACGUGCCAGCANCCGCGGUAAUACGUAAGUGGCAAGCGUUGUCCGGAUUUACUGGGCGUAAAGGGA